Molecule: non-coding RNA, 229 nt
Filed under: Morus notabilis
Lineage: Eukaryota; Viridiplantae; Streptophyta; Magnoliopsida; Rosales; Moraceae
Description: Bacterial large subunit ribosomal RNA
Rfam family: Bacterial large subunit ribosomal RNA
Source: Rfam by way of RNAcentral
UAAGUGAUAGUGAAGAGUACCGUGAGGGAAAUGUUUGAAUUAGUAAUUUUCAAAGCAGCUCGAAAAAGAAAUAAAAUAAAAUGAGAGCGUACCUUUUGCAUAAUGGGUCAGCAAGUUAAUGUUAGAUGCGAGACAAUAUAAAGUCGAAGAUAAACCGAUUCUGAAAGAAUGAGAAGUAUCUAAUAUUAGACCCGAAGACUAGUGAUCUUAUCAUGAUCAGGAUUAUAAA